GACGAACGCUGGCGGCGUGCCUAAUACAUGCAAGUUGAGCGCUGAAGGUUGGUACUUGUACCAACUGGAUGAGCAGCGAACGGGUGAGUAACGCGUGGGGAAUCUGCCUUUGAGCGGGGGACAACAUUUGGAAACGAAUGCUAAUACCACAUAAAAACUUUAAACACAAGUUUUAAGUUUGAAAGAUGCAAUUGCAUCACUCAAAGAUGAUCCCGCGUUGUAUUAGCUAGUUGGUGAGGUAAAGGCUCACCAAGGCGAUGAUACAUAGCCGACCUGAGAGGGUGAUCGGCCACAUUGGGACUGAGACACGGCCCAAACUCCUACGGGAGGCAGCAGUAGGGAAUCUUCGGCAAUGGACGAAAGUCUGACCGAGCAACGCCGCGUGAGUGAAGAAGGUUUUCGGAUCGUAAAACUCUGUUGGUAGAGAAGAACGUUGGUGAGAGUGGAAAGCUCAUCAAGUGACGGUAACUACACAGAAAGGGACGGCUAACUACGUG
This 497-nucleotide ribosomal RNA is filed under the name uncultured bacterium. Its description in RNAcentral is "partial 16S ribosomal RNA". It matches the Rfam family "Bacterial small subunit ribosomal RNA", at positions 28 to 507 of the family's 1533-position model. The record is from RNAcentral.